This is a long non-coding RNA of Trifolium pratense (red clover), 759 nucleotides long. RefSeq lists it as uncharacterized. NCBI's taxonomy places the organism in Eukaryota, Viridiplantae, Streptophyta, Magnoliopsida, Fabales, Fabaceae. The record is from RefSeq and is a predicted model, not a curated record. The transcript is spliced from 2 exons.
AUGAUGAGUGGAUAGAGACUAUAGAGCUAUGGGAAAGCAGGCUUCUUUCUGUUGCUGAUGUCAUUUGUGAGCGGCUGGCAUGCGGGUUGCAUCUUCCCCUUGAUUCAUUCAGAUGUCGGCGAUUUAAUCCACUGAUUUCUACUGGGAUGAAUCUUGAAGGAGAAAAAGAGGGCAAAAUUUUGGAAAUUCCACACCGGGAUUAUAGUCUUCUUAGUGUCCAAGCAGGCCACAAAUAUGUGGGACUCAACCUUUGGUCCAAAAAGGACCAAAAGGUUGAGAUCAACAUACAUGCGGGCCAUCUAGCCAUCAUUGCUGGCAAACAACUUGAACAACUCUCAGGAGGUAAGAUAAUUGCUCCCAAACAUGAAUAUGUGCUGAGCAAGAACAUCAUGAAAGAGUUAGAGAAACAUAAAGAUAAAGAACAUCGCAACAUUAGUUCGUGGAGGAUUACCUCCACCUUGUUUACACAACAAGCUUGAGACUUUCCUCCCAAUGGAACCUAAGAAGAAGGCGGAGAACCUCAACUAUCCAGCUGUGAAAAGAAUGAGAAAUGAGAAAUGAGAUGUUUACAUAUUGUUCUGCAACAAGCCUCCUCAUUUGUUGCAAGUUUUGAGAUUUGUUCCAUUUAACUUUGCUGCUUAGCCUAAAUUUGUCCAUAUAAUGACUCGAAAGGUUUUGAUAGUAUUUGAUAAGAAUGAUUGAGUGUUACUGAUAACUUUGCUGCUUAGCCUAAAUUUUUCCAUAUAACUUUGAUUCCAA